RNAcentral lists this ribosomal RNA (34 nucleotides) under Erinaceus europaeus (western European hedgehog). The record is from RNAcentral. Lineage: Eukaryota; Metazoa; Chordata; Mammalia; Eulipotyphla; Erinaceidae.
AACCCUCUGAUCUCAUCAGAUCUCAGAAGCUAAG